RNAcentral lists this ribosomal RNA (481 nucleotides) under uncultured bacterium. Its description in RNAcentral is "partial 16S ribosomal RNA". It matches the Rfam family "Bacterial small subunit ribosomal RNA", at positions 28 to 523 of the family's 1533-position model. The record is from RNAcentral.
GACGAACGCUGGCGGCGUGCUUAACACAUGCAAGUCGAGCGGAAAGGCCACUUCGGUGGUACUCGAGCGGCGAACGGGGGAGUAACACGUGAGUAAUCUGCCCAUGGCUUUGGGAUAGCCACCGGAAACGGUGAUUAAUAGCGGAUACGACCACUUCCCGCAUGGGAUGGUAGUGGAAAGUUCUUUCGGCCAGGGAUGGGCUCGCGGCCUAUCAGAUAGAUGGUGAGGUAAUGGCUCACCAUGGCUUCGACGGGUAGCCGGCCUGAGAGGGUGACCGGUCACACUGGGACUGAGACACGGACCAGACUCCUACGGGAGGCAGCAGUGGGGAUUAUUGGACAAUGGGCGGAAGCCUGUUCCAGCAACGCCGCGUGAGUGAUGACGUGCUUCGGGUUGUAAACCUCUUUCAGCGGGGACGAAGCGCAAGUGACGGUACCUGCAGAAGAAGCACCGGCCAACUACGUGCCAGCAGCCGCCGUAA